GUGAUUAGCUCAGCUGGGAGAGCACCUCCCUUACAAGGAGGGGGUCGGCGGUUCGAUCC
Molecule: transfer RNA, 59 nt
Filed under: Escherichia coli 96.0939
Lineage: Bacteria; Pseudomonadati; Pseudomonadota; Gammaproteobacteria; Enterobacterales; Enterobacteriaceae
Description: partial tRNA-Val
Rfam family: tRNA
About the family: Transfer RNA (tRNA) molecules are approximately 80 nucleotides in length.
Source: RNAcentral